CCUACGGGAGGCAGCAGUGGGGAAUAUUGCACAAUGGGGGAAACCCUGAUGCAGCGACGCCGCGUGAGUGAAGCAGUAAUUCGUUAUGUAAAGCUCUAUCAGCAGGGAAGAAAAUGACGGUACCUGAGUAAGAAGCCCCGGCUAACUACGUGCCAGCAGCCGCGGUAAUACGUAGGGGGCAAGCGUUAUCCGGAUUUACUGGGUGGAAAGGGAGCGUAGACGGCAGUGCAAGUCUGGAGUGAAAGGCGGGGGCUCAACCCCCGGACUGCUCUGGAAACUGUACGGCUGGAGUGCAGGAGAGGUAAGUGGAAUUCCUAGUGUAGCGGUGAAAUGCGUAGAUAUUAGGAGGAACACCAGUGGCGAAGGCGGCUUACUGGACUGUAACUGACGUUGAGGCUCGAAAGCGUGGGGAGCAAACAGGAUUAGAUACCCUUGUAGUC
This 440-nucleotide ribosomal RNA is filed under the name uncultured bacterium. RNAcentral describes it as "partial 16S ribosomal RNA". It matches the Rfam family "Bacterial small subunit ribosomal RNA", at positions 338 to 795 of the family's 1533-position model. The record is from RNAcentral.